GACGAACGCUGGCGGCGUGCUUAACACAUGCAAGUCGAACGGAAAGGCCUGCUUUCCCUUGUGGAUUGCGGGCACUCGAGUGGCGAACGGGUGAGUAACACGUGAGUGAUCUGCCCCCAACUUGGGUAUAAGCCUGGGAAACUGGGUCUAAUUCCCGAUAGGACUGCAGGGUGGUGCCUGUGGUGGAAAACGAUUUUCUAGUGGUUGGGGAUGAGCUCGCGGCCUAUCAGCUUGUUGGUGGGGUAAUGGCCUACCAAGGCGGCGACGGGUAGCCGGCCUGAGAGGGUGGACGGCCACAUUGGGACUGAGAUACGGCCCAGACUCCUACGGGAGGCAGCAGUGGGGAAUAUUGCACAAUGGGCGGAAGCCUGAUGCAGCGACGCCGCGUGGGGGAUGACGGCCUUCGGGUUGUAAACUCCUUUCGACCGCGAGGAAGCCACCUGGUUGGAAGGGUGGUGACGGUAGUGGUAGAAGAAGCACCGGCUAACUACGU
RNAcentral lists this ribosomal RNA (493 nucleotides) under uncultured bacterium. Its description in RNAcentral is "partial 16S ribosomal RNA". It matches the Rfam family "Bacterial small subunit ribosomal RNA", at positions 28 to 506 of the family's 1533-position model. The record is from RNAcentral.